Molecule: long non-coding RNA, 642 nt
Organism: Hippocampus zosterae (dwarf seahorse)
Lineage: Eukaryota; Metazoa; Chordata; Actinopteri; Syngnathiformes; Syngnathidae
Exons: 3
Source: RefSeq, a predicted model, not a curated record
CAUUCCAGUUUGUCGUGCUUCAAAACAACCAAUACGGUCAAAUCACGCGAGGAUGCACCUGAAGCACGUGAAACAAAUCAGCAUAUCUAUGACAACUCGCGUCUCUCAAAACUAAACACUAGACAGUCGUGUCCGUUUCCCAAAUAAGUAUCAGCAUGGCGGUUUUUAACCGGAAAAACGAGCCAACCGUCGCGCAUCGCAUCUCAGGUCCCAUGUAGACGCAUUUCCUAAAAUAAUUUGUUAAAUGCGCAGCUAACAUGGCGGACCCAAGUACCAACCAGCUAAUGGCUAUCAAGGACUCGCCGUGAAACUUCAAAAUGCAUUUUGAGGCCACGCCCACGCUGAGUGGUCUGCCCAACGACCCGGAAGGAAUCUUGAUCUCGGAAGACAACGAAGAUGAGCGCUCGGCGCUGACCGUCAGAGCUGCGGAAGGCGAAAAGCCAUGUCAGAUUUUAGAAUUCAUCGAUUUUGAUGUUCCGGCCAAGACACGAGGAAGACUCACCGGGAGAAGCAUGUCCAAAUAAACGAGGAAGUCCGACCUUUUGGUGAUGCGAGCCGGCUGCUGCAGCACUCGGUCGAGCUCCAGGCCUUCGCUGUCCAGCAGUCGGCGCAGGGCGAUGUCGGCCAGCUGCCCCACCACCC